UGGGGAAUAUUGCACAAUGGGCGCAAGCCUGAUGCAGCCAUGCCGCGUGUGUGAAGAAGGCCUUCGGGUUGUAAAGCACUUUCAGCGAGGAGGAAGGUGGUGAACUUAAUACGUUCAUCAAUUGACGUUACUCGCAGAAGAAGCACCGGCUAACUCCGUGCCUGCAGCCGCGGUAAUACGGAGGGUGCAAGCGUUAAUCGGAAUUACUGGGCGUAAAGCGCACGCAGGCGGUUUGUUAAGUCAGAUGUGAAAUCCCCGGGCUCAACCUGGGAACUGCAUUUGAAACUGGCAAGCUAGAGUCUCGUAGAGGGGGGUAGAAUUCCAGGUGUAGCGGUGAAAUGCGUAGAGAUCUGGAGGAAUACCGGUGGCGAAGGCGGCCCCCUGGACGAAGACUGACGCUCAGGUGCGAAAAGCGUGGGGAGCAAAACAGGAUUAGAUACCCUGGUAGUCCACGCUGUAAAACGAUGUCGAUUUUGGAGGUUGUGCCCUUGAGGCGUGGCUUCCGGAGCUAACGCGUUAAAUCGACCGCCUGGGGAGUACGGCCGCAAGGUUAAAAC
RNAcentral lists this ribosomal RNA (557 nucleotides) under uncultured bacterium. Its description in RNAcentral is "partial 16S ribosomal RNA". It matches the Rfam family "Bacterial small subunit ribosomal RNA", at positions 355 to 900 of the family's 1533-position model. The record is from RNAcentral.